AAGCUCGUAGUUGAAUUUCGGGGUUCUACCGUUGGUCGGGCUAACCAGUCUGUACUAGCGUGUAGAAUUCCUACCUUCUGGGGAACCAUCAUGUUAUUAAUUUAGCGUGGUGGGAAACCAGGACCUUUACCUUGAAAAAAUUAGAGUGUUCAAAGCAGGCUUACGUCUGAAUACAUUAGCAUGGAAUAAUAAAAUAGGACGGUGGUCCUGUUUUGUUGGUUUCUGAAUCACCGUAAUGAUUAAUAGGGAUAGUUAGG
This 257-nucleotide ribosomal RNA is filed under the name uncultured Scutellospora. Its description in RNAcentral is "partial 18S ribosomal RNA". It matches the Rfam family "Eukaryotic small subunit ribosomal RNA", at positions 624 to 886 of the family's 1831-position model. The record is from RNAcentral. Lineage: Eukaryota; Fungi; Glomeromycota; Glomeromycetes; Diversisporales; Gigasporaceae.